GAGGAAAGUCCGGGCUCCAUAGGGCAAGGUGCCAGGUAACGCCUGGGGGGUGUCACAGCCCACGACCAGUGCAACAGAGAGCAAACCGCCGAUGGCCCGCGCAAGCGGGAUCAGGUAAGGGUGAAAGGGUGCGGUAAGAGCGCACCGCGCGGCUGGUAACAGUCCGCGGCACGGUAAACUCCACCCGGAGCAAGGCCAAAUAGGGGUUCAUAAGGUACGGCCCGUACUGAACCCGGGUAGGCUGCUUGAGCCAGUGAGCGAUUGCUGGCCUAGAUGAAUGACUGUCCACGACAGAAC
This 297-nucleotide RNase P RNA is filed under the name Klebsiella pneumoniae UHKPC05. RNAcentral describes it as "Bacterial RNase P class A". It matches the Rfam family "Bacterial RNase P class A", at positions 43 to 343 of the family's 367-position model. Rfam says of the family: Ribonuclease P (RNase P) is a ubiquitous endoribonuclease, found in archaea, bacteria and eukarya as well as chloroplasts and mitochondria. Lineage: Bacteria; Pseudomonadati; Pseudomonadota; Gammaproteobacteria; Enterobacterales; Enterobacteriaceae. The record is from RNAcentral.